AUUGAACGCUGGCGGCAUGCCUUACACAUGCAAGUCGAACGGCAGCACGGGAGCAAUCCUGGUGGCGAGUGGCGAACGGGUGAGUAAUACAUCGGAACGUGCCCAGUAGUGGGGGAUAGCCCGGCGAAAGCCGGAUUAAUACCGCAUACGACCUGAGGGUGAAAGCGGGGGAUCGCAAGACCUUGCGCUAUUGGAGCGGCCGAUGUCGGAUUAGCUAGUUGGUGAGGUAAGAGCUCACCAAGGCUACGAUCCGUAGCUGGUCUGAGAGGACGACCAGCCACACUGGGACUGAGACACGGCCCAGACUCCUACGGGAGGCAGCAGUGGGGAAUUUUUGGGACAAUGGGCGCAAGCCUGAUCCAGCCAUGCCGCGUGCGGGAAGAAGGCCUUCGGGUUGUAAACCG
RNAcentral lists this ribosomal RNA (404 nucleotides) under uncultured bacterium. RNAcentral's name for it is "bacterial SSU rRNA". It matches the Rfam family "Bacterial small subunit ribosomal RNA", at positions 29 to 432 of the family's 1533-position model. The record is from RNAcentral.